RNAcentral lists this ribosomal RNA (433 nucleotides) under uncultured bacterium. RNAcentral's name for it is "partial 16S ribosomal RNA". It matches the Rfam family "Bacterial small subunit ribosomal RNA", at positions 29 to 507 of the family's 1533-position model. The record is from RNAcentral.
AACGAACGCUGGCGGCAUGCCUAACACAUGCCAGUCGAACGAGACCUUCGGGUCUAGUGGCGCACGGGGGAGUAACGCGUGGGAACCUGCCCUUAGGUUCGGAAUAACUCCCCGAAAGGGGUGCUAAUACCGGAUAAUGUCUUCGGACCAAAGAUUUAUCGCCUUUGGAUGGGCCCGCGUUGUAUUAGCGAGUUGGUAGGGUAAAAGCCUACCAAGGCGACGAUCCAUAGCUGGUCUGAGAGGAUGAUCAGCCACACUGGGACUGAGACACGGCCCAGACUCCUACGGGAGGCAGCAGUGGGGAAUAUUGGACAAUGGGCGAAAGCCUGAUCCAGCAAUGCCGCGUGAGUGAUGAAGGCCUUAGGGUUGUAAAGCUCUUUUACCCGGGAUGAUAAUGACAGUACCGGGAGAAUAAGCUCCGGCUAACUCCGUG